This 94-nucleotide transfer RNA is filed under the name Fischerella sp. Its description in RNAcentral is "tRNA-Phe". Lineage: Bacteria; Bacillati; Cyanobacteriota; Cyanophyceae; Nostocales; Hapalosiphonaceae. The record is from RNAcentral.
GUAACUUAGUGUUACGGGCAGUGGCGAAAGCUACGGGAGAAUGAAAAUCCGUUGACCGUAAAAGGUCGUGAGGGUUCAAGUCCCUCCACCCCCA